Non-coding RNA from Cajanus cajan (pigeon pea), 1822 nucleotides. The record is from RefSeq and is a predicted model, not a curated record. NCBI's taxonomy places the organism in Eukaryota, Viridiplantae, Streptophyta, Magnoliopsida, Fabales, Fabaceae.
CACAUUUAUUUAAAUUAUAAUCCCUUCACUAAAGUUGGAAAAAAAAAUAUUAUUCGCUAAUCAUUAAUUACUAAUAGUAACAUUACCAACACACUACUCUCUUCGGUUGCACACAUAGAGUAAGAGUAUUUUUUGGUAAAUAUAGAUUUUAACACCUAAAGAGUUGUUUUGCUAGAUUGAUUGUUGUUGGAGAUUUGGUAAUUCAUAAGCAGAUUUGGCCAAAGAUGACUAUUAUCUUUUGACAGAAGGGCUACGGAAUGAGGAUGAGAAGUUUGUUGAUCAAGAUGUUCUUAAAAAGCAUCUCUGGUUUAAACUUACUAAAUAAUAAAGUAUUGUAUAAUCAGCAACCCGUGGAUAUGCUUUUCUUUGAUUUUUGUUACUCGUCAGAGUUUCUGGGUUCUCUUCAGUUGCAUCCUCUGUUCUCCGCUUCUUCAAGAACGGAAUAACUACAGAAGUUGAAGAACACGCACAAAUAAAAGUAUAACCUCUCUUAUGCAAGGUAAACACUUGUGUCUCUGGGACCCUUGUGGUCAUUUUCUCCUUGCACUACCAAGGCUGCCAUAGGAAAGUCAAGAAAACAUUGUUCAACAAUUCAAUGCUGCACUCCUUCUUGAUUGAAAUUGAAAAGCUAUUCGAUGUUUCGAUAGUUGUAAUUGUUUUCUUUCCUCAAAACUCAAGAAAAGACGUUCUUGUUGAAAUUCUUGAAUGUGUAUUUUAUUUUUUUCUUUGUUCAGUUGCAUUUUAACCACAUUUAGAAAUUACAUUCUUUCUAACUUUUGUGUAAUUGGUAAAUCAUAUUUUGAUUUUUUUCUUUAUAUUUUUAUUAUUUUGUUGUUGAAGUAGUUCCUUUUAGAGAAGUGGCUUUUAUCUUCUGUGUUUUUUCUCAUUAUUUCAAUCGGAUGCAAGAAUCCGAAAAUCUAUUUGUCAUAUGGAACAGACGCGAGAAGAUGCAGUGGCAUUACCAUCGUAUAAGACUGUCUAAGGUGAUAGAUCAAUGCAAUUGAUCUAAAGAACAUGCACAAGCGAAAGCUUGAGACAGUGAGUUUGUUGCAACCAAGACCUGAAUUAUGGGAGGAGGAACAGCCUUGAUGCUGUGCUCAUGUAGUGUUUGAAAGCUUGUGUUGAGUUUUUUCGAAGAGGAUUGUGAUUGUGAAGUAACAUGUGGAAAUGGAUCAGUUCCUUGCUCUGGUGACCUUGCGUCAAUAGGAGGUAGAAAUUAAAUGAUGGGUUGUUAAUGAUGAUGUAAUCGGGCUGGAGUGAUGCAAAUAAAUGUCUUUGUUUUAAUUGAUUUUUCCUUUUUUAAUUUUACAAGUGAGAAUUGUGAUUUACGACUAUGUUUGGGAUGAAUGGUAUUUACAAAUUUAUUUUAUUUCCUAAAGAUUUAGGAAACAAUGACAUAAUAUGAUAUGGAUAAUUCUGUUAUAUCAAUGUUGGGCAUGUACUUUUAAAUACCUGUGGAAAUGGAUGUUUUCCUCGCUCUGGUGACCUUGUGUCGAUAGGAGGUGGAAAUUAAAUGAUGUGUUGUUAAUGGUUAUAUAAUCGAGUUGGAAAUUAAAUGAUGUGUUGUUAAUGGUUAUAUAAUCGGUGAGUGUGUGUAGAGUGAUGUAGACAAAUGUCUUUAUUUUAAUUGAUUUUUCUGUUAUUUUUAAAUUUUACAAGUGAGAAUUGUGAUUUGCGACCUUGUUUGGGAUGAGUGGUAUUUACAAAUUUAUUGUAUUUGUGAAAGAUUUAGGAAGCAAUGACUUAAUAUGAUAUGGAUAAUUCUGUUAUAUCAAUGGUCGCCAUGUACUUUUAAAUAGCUGUAUUCUACUAGCUGUAUUAU